UACGUAGGGUGCAAGCGUUGUCCGGAAUUAUUGGGCGUAAAGAGCUCGUAGGCGGUUUGUUGCGUCGGCUGUGAAAUCCCGAGGCUCAACCUCGGGUCUGCAGUCGAUACGAGCAAACUAGAGUGUUGCAGGGGAGACUGGAAUUCCUGGUGUAGCAGUGAAAUGCGUAGAGAUCAUGAGGAAGACCAGUGGCGAAGGCGGGUCUCUGGACAGUUCCUGACACUGAGGCACGAAGGCCAGGGGAGCAAACGGG
Molecule: ribosomal RNA, 253 nt
Filed under: uncultured bacterium
Lineage: Bacteria
Description: partial 16S ribosomal RNA
Rfam family: Bacterial small subunit ribosomal RNA
Source: RNAcentral